UACGGGGGGAGCAAGCGUUGUUCGGAUUUACUGGGCGCAAAGGGCGCGUAGGCGGCCACCGCAAGUCGGUUGUGAAAUCUCCGGGCUUAACCCGGAAAGGUCAAUCGAUACUGCGGGGCUAGAGUGCAGAAGGGGCAACUGGAAUUCUCGGUGUAGCGGUGAAAUGCGUAGAUAUCGAGAGGAACACCUGCGGCGAAGGCGGGUUGCUGGGCUGACACUGACGCUGAAGCGCGAAAGCUAGGGGAGCGAACGGG
Molecule: ribosomal RNA, 254 nt
Filed under: uncultured bacterium
Lineage: Bacteria
Description: partial 16S ribosomal RNA
Rfam family: Bacterial small subunit ribosomal RNA
Source: RNAcentral